UGCCAUAUCUUCCUGUGUCUCUUCGUCUGUGCAUCACGCUACUUGUCGUUUCGUUCCAAAUGCAGUGUGUGUUUGCCAAGUGCUUGUGAUUCAGGUUACUUUUAUGUGUUAUGCUUCAGCUACAAGGGACGACCGUUGCCGUGCCAAUGGUGUUUUCAGGUGUUCAUACCACCACAGAUCCAAUACGGAAGUCACAGUUACCAACAAAAAGUGCAAGAGCAGAGCCUGCAUGGUAUCCAUCUAUGAGGAAAUCAUGCAGUACCGCCAAAGAAGUUGACAUGUUAUUAGAAGGUAGAAUCGUGAAGGAUAUUCCUGUCCGAGUUUCAACAUGUAAAAUAAUUGCAAGUUAAAUUGGCGAACGAAGGUCUUGGCCUAUAGGGAUUUCGGGGGAAAGCAUCGAUGUUCUGGCUCAAAUCGUACUGUGUAUUGUCUGCGUGACCCAGCUUUUGGCUGCACACUGAGCGGUUGUUUCUGCAACUGUUCGGACAUGAAACAAGCGUCAAGAUUCUUCAAAAUGUUGAGAU
RNAcentral lists this long non-coding RNA (524 nucleotides) under Acanthaster planci (crown-of-thorns starfish). Its description in RNAcentral is "uncharacterized LOC110983642, transcript variant X2". The record is from RNAcentral. Lineage: Eukaryota; Metazoa; Echinodermata; Asteroidea; Valvatida; Acanthasteridae.